RNAcentral lists this ribosomal RNA (677 nucleotides) under Streptomyces coelicoflavus. RNAcentral describes it as "bacterial SSU rRNA". It matches the Rfam family "Bacterial small subunit ribosomal RNA", at positions 94 to 784 of the family's 1533-position model. Lineage: Bacteria; Bacillati; Actinomycetota; Actinomycetes; Kitasatosporales; Streptomycetaceae. The record is from RNAcentral.
AGUGGCGAACGGGUGAGUAACACGUGGGCAAUCUGCCCUGCACUCUGGGACAAGCCCUGGAAACGGGGUCUAAUACCGGAUACUGACCUGCCAAGGCAUCUUGGCGGGUCGAAAGCUCCGGCGGUGCAGGAUGAGCCCGCGGCCUAUCAGCUUGUUGGUGAGGUAAUGGCUCACCAAGGCGACGACGGGUAGCCGGCCUGAGAGGGCGACCGGCCACACUGGGACUGAGACACGGCCCAGACUCCUACGGGAGGCAGCAGUGGGGAAUAUUGCACAAUGGGCGCAAGCCUGAUGCAGCGACGCCGCGUGAGGGAUGACGGCCUUCGGGUUGUAAACCUCUUUCAGCAGGGAAGAAGCGAAAGUGACGGUACCUGCAGAAGAAGCGCCGGCUAACUACGUGCCAGCAGCCGCGGUAAUACGUAGGGCGCAAGCGUUGUCCGGAAUUAUUGGGCGUAAAGAGCUCGUAGGCGGCUUGUCGCGUCGGUUGUGAAAGCCCGGGGCUUAACCCCGGGUCUGCAGUCGAUACGGCAGGGCUAGAGUUCGGUAGGGGAGAUCGGAAUUCCUGGUGUAGCGGUGAAAUGCGCAGAUAUCAGGAGGAACACCGGUGGCGAAGGCGGAUCUCUGGGCCGAUACUGACGCUGAGGAGCGAAAGCGUGGGGAGCGAACAGGAUUAGAUA